GACGUCGAAUAUCGACGUCAUAAACACCUAAGUUGAUCGUGUUUAUGACGUCGAAUAUAGACGUCAUAAACACCAAAGUUGAUCGUGUUUAUGACGUCGAAUAUCGACGUC
Paramuricea clavata is the source of this 111-nucleotide non-coding RNA. NCBI's taxonomy places the organism in Eukaryota, Metazoa, Cnidaria, Anthozoa, Malacalcyonacea, Plexauridae. The record is from the annotation of a GenBank genome assembly.